This 339-nucleotide ribosomal RNA is filed under the name uncultured Chloroflexota bacterium. Its description in RNAcentral is "bacterial SSU rRNA". It matches the Rfam family "Bacterial small subunit ribosomal RNA", at positions 29 to 351 of the family's 1533-position model. The record is from RNAcentral. Lineage: Bacteria; Bacillati; Chloroflexota.
AAUUAACGCUGGCGGCAUGCCUAACACAUGCAAGUCGAGCGAGAAACCGCCCUUCGGGGCGGGAGUACAGCGGCGCACGGGUGAGUAGCGCGUGGGUAAUCUACCUCUGCCUGGGGGAUAACACACCGAAAGAUGUGCUAAUACCGCGUAAUCCGGCGAACCUUCGGGUAAGUCGGCAAAGGUGGCCUCUUCAUGAAAGCUGCCGGGUAGAGAUGAGCCCGCGUCCCAUUAGCUAGUUGGUAGGGUAACGGCCUACCAAGGCUGCGAUGUUUAGGGGACCUGAGAGGGUGAACCCCCACACUGGUACUGAGACACGGACCAGACUCCUACGGGUGGCUG